Molecule: ribosomal RNA, 2089 nt
Filed under: Pseudanabaena sp. CMAA1555
Lineage: Bacteria; Bacillati; Cyanobacteriota; Cyanophyceae; Pseudanabaenales; Pseudanabaenaceae
Description: bacterial SSU rRNA
Rfam family: Bacterial small subunit ribosomal RNA (bases 1-1479)
Source: RNAcentral
AGAGUUUGAUCCUGGCUCAGGAUGAACGCUGGCGGUAUGCUUAACACAUGCAAGUCGAACGGUCUCUUCGGAGAUAGUGGCGGACGGGUGAGUAACGCGUAAGAAUCUACCUACAGACUCGGGACAACAGUUAGAAAUGACUGCUAAUACCGGAUAUGCCUUCGGGUGAAAGAUUUAUCAUCUGUAGAUGAGCUUGCGUCCGAUUAGCUAGAUGGAGUGGUAAAGGCACACCAUGGCGACGAUCGGUAACUGGUCUGAGAGGAUGACCAGUCACACUGGGACUGAGACACGGCCCAGACUCCUACGGGAGGCAGCAGUGGGGAAUUUUCCGCAAUGGGCGAAAGCCUGACGGAGCAAUACCGCGUGAGGGAAGAAGGUCUGUGGAUUGUAAACCUCUUUUGUUAGGGAAGAUAAUGACGGUACCUAACGAAUAAGCAUCGGCUAACUCCGCGCCAGCAGCCGCGGUAAGACGGAGGAUGCAAGCGUUAUCCGGAAUUAUUGGGCGUAAAGCGUACGUAGGCUGUUUCAUAAGUCUGUUGUCAAAGAGCGAGGCUUAACCUUGUAAAGGCAAUGGAAACUGUGAGGCUAGAGAGAGAAAGGGGCAGGAGGAAUUCCAGGUGUAGCGGUGAAAUGCGUAGAUAUCUGGAAGAACACCAGUGGCGGAAGCGUCCUGCUGGAUCUCAACUGACGCUGAAGUACGAAAGCUAGGGGAGCGAAUGGGAUUAGAUACCCCAGUAGUCCUAGCCGUAAACGAUGGGUACUAGGUGUUGGCCGUAUCGACCCGGUCAGUGCCGUAGCUAACGCGUUAAGUACCCCGCCUGGGGAGUACGGUCGCAAGAUUGAAACUCAAAGGAAUUGACGGGGGCCCGCACAAGCGGUGGAGUAUGUGGUUUAAUUCGAUGCAACGCGAAGAACCUUACCAAGGCUUGACAUGUCGCGAAUCCUCCUGAAAGGGAGGAGUGCCUUCGGGAGCGCGAACACAGGUGGUGCAUGGCUGUCGUCAGCUCGUGUCGUGAGAUGUUGGGUUAAGUCCCGCAACGAGCGCAACCCACGUAUUUAGUUGCCAGCAUUAAGUUGGGCACUCUAGAUAGACUGCCGGUGACAAACCGGAGGAAGGUGUGGAUGACGUCAAGUCAUCAUGCCCCUUACGCCUUGGGCUACACACGUACUACAAUGGCAGGGACAAAGAGCUGCGAGCAUGCGAAUGCAAGCUAAUCUCGUAAACCCAGUCUUAGUUCAGAUUGCAGGCUGCAACUCGCCUGCAUGAAGGCGGAAUCGCUAGUAAUCGCAGGUCAGCAUACUGCGGUGAAUACGUUCCCGGGCCUUGUACACACCGCCCGUCACACCAUGGAAGCUGGUCACGCCCGAAGUCGUUAUCUCAACCUUUCGAGGAGGGAGGCGCCUAAGGCAGGGCUGGUGACUGGGGUGAAGUCGUAACAAGGUAGCCGUACCGGAAGGUGCGGCUGGAUCACCUCCUUAUAGGGAGACCUAUUUACUCUUAGACCGAAACAAUACAGGAAUAAGUCAAGAGUAAGUCAUCCCAAGGUCGGUCGAAGGAUAUUGGAAAGCUUUCAAACUAAGUCAGGUUCUAAAUUUGGCUAACGCAAAGGGCCAUUAGCUCAGUGGGUUAGAGCGCACCCCUGAUAAGGGUGAGGUCACUGGUUCGUGUCCAGUAUGGCCCACUUGAGAAAAGGCAAAAGGUCAAAGGAAAAAGGAAAAAAUAGAAUCAAUGUUUUUUACUUUUUACUUUUCACUUUUUACUUGGACUCUGGGGAUAUAGCUCAGUUGGUAGAGCGCCUGCUUUGCACGCAGGAAGUCAGGAGUUCGAAUCUCCUUAUCUCCACCAAACUACAAACAAGACCAACACAAGCAAGAGCAAGAGUUUAGCAACUUAUCUAGUUAGGAAAACUACAAGUAAGACCAAGAAACUAGAGAGACUGCUAAAUUCUAGCGAGAGCUAGAGUUUAGAAAGAACCUUGAAAACUGCAUAGUAAAGAAGUAACGAAGAAAGCAAGUAGAACCGAAGUAGAGAUACAGAGGUCAAGCUACAAAGGGCUUACGGUGGAUACCUAGGCACACAGAGGCGAGG